AGUGAACGCUGGCGGUAGGCCUAACACAUGCAAGUCGAACGGCAGCACAGUAAGAGCUUGCCUCUACGGGUGGCGAGUGGCGGACGGGUGAGGCAUACAUCGGCUUCUACUUUUUCGUGGGUGAUUACGUAGGGACACUUCUGCUAAUACCGCAUACGUCCUACGGGUGAAAGCAGUGGAUAUUCGGACCUUGCGUGAUUCUAUGAGCCGAUGUCGGAUUAGCUAGUUGGCGGGGUAAAGGCCCACCAAGGCGACGAUGCGUAGCUGAUCUGAGAGGAUGAUCGGCCACACUGGAACUGAGACACGGUCCAGACUCCUACGGGAGGCAGCAGUGGGGAAUAUUGGGCAAUGGGCGCAAGCCUGACCCAGCCAUGCCGCGUGAGUGAAGAAGGCCUUCGGGUUGUAAAGCCCUGUUAUUAGGGAAGAAAAACAGCAUAUGAAUACCCGGCUGUUCUGACGGUACCCAAAGAGUAAGCACCGGCUAACUUCGUG
Molecule: ribosomal RNA, 492 nt
Filed under: uncultured bacterium
Lineage: Bacteria
Description: partial 16S ribosomal RNA
Rfam family: Bacterial small subunit ribosomal RNA
Source: RNAcentral